Molecule: ribosomal RNA, 300 nt
Filed under: Clostridioides difficile
Lineage: Bacteria; Bacillati; Bacillota; Clostridia; Peptostreptococcales; Peptostreptococcaceae
Description: partial 16S ribosomal RNA
Rfam family: Bacterial small subunit ribosomal RNA
Source: RNAcentral
UUUUAUUUGAGAGUUUGAUCCUGGCUCAGGAUGAACGCUGGCGGCGUGCCUAACACAUGCAAGUUGAGCGAUUUACUUCGGUAAAGAGCGGCGGACGGGUGAGUAACGCGUGGGUAACCUACCCUGUACACACGGAUAACAUACCGAAAGGUAUGCUAAUACGGGAUAAUAUAUUUGAGAGGCAUCUCUUAAAUAUCAAAGGUGAGCCAGUACAGGAUGGACCCGCGUCUGAUUAGCUAGUUGGUAAGGUAACGGCUUACCAAGGCGACGAUCAGUAGCCGACCUGAGAGGGUGAUCGGC